UCUUCAUUUCACACACUCUCUUACCGGUCAGAGAGGCGAGAGAGUGUGCAAAAUGAAGAGA
Pristionchus pacificus is the source of this 61-nucleotide non-coding RNA. The record is from Rfam. NCBI's taxonomy places the organism in Eukaryota, Metazoa, Nematoda, Chromadorea, Rhabditida, Neodiplogasteridae.